GUGCUUGCUUUAGCAGCACACACUAAAAUUGGAAUGAUACAGAGAAGAUUGGAAUGGCCCCUGCACAAGAAGGGCACACAAACGCAUGCAGUGCUCUGUAUUUUU
This is a small nuclear RNA of Octodon degus (degu), 105 nucleotides long. The record is from Ensembl. Lineage: Eukaryota; Metazoa; Chordata; Mammalia; Rodentia; Octodontidae.